GUCAUACAUCAGUAGAGGUGGGGUGGCAUGAUGGGUAAGAGUGCUUACUGAAUUCAUAUGCUGGCACUGCCACUGAUUUAGCUGGAUGUCCAUGGGAAGGACACUUUACUUCUCUAAUACCAACUUUAUUAAAUUAUUGUGAUGAUUUAGUAAGUUAGAAUAUUAAAAUGCUUAAAAUAGUGUCUGACACAUAGGAAGCAAGCGAGCAUUGAUGAUCAUUAUCUUGUUCCAACAUUCAGGUACACAGGUUCUGGAGGCAUCAUGAUGCAGUUCCAAGAAUUUCCAGAUCCCUUGCAUCUUACGUAUCCUAAAUUUGGAUGAUGAUUUCCUGCCAGAAGAUAAGAAAACUGAGACUCUUAAGAUUAAUAACAUAUUCCACAGCACCUUCAGCUCAUAAGAGAUAAAGUCAGGAUUCUAAUCUAAUUCUUAGAGCUGAAGACACUCCAAGAAGGGAAAGCAUGGAAACUUUAUGGAGACUGAGUGAUUCUAUGAAGAAGAUGCAAUUAAGUUGCGAGAAGAAGGAGUGAACAAGUUUCUAAUUCCACAGCUCAUGUUCAACAUUAUACUCAGACUAACUUUGAACAAUAUUCUGACAAAAGCAAAGAAACUUCACAUUAAAAAAUAAAGCCCUUUGCCUUUAUUUAAAAAUAAAAAG
RNAcentral lists this long non-coding RNA (655 nucleotides) under Callithrix jacchus (white-tufted-ear marmoset). Its description in RNAcentral is "lncRNA (ENSCJAG00000086855.1)". Lineage: Eukaryota; Metazoa; Chordata; Mammalia; Primates; Cebidae. The record is from RNAcentral.